This 116-nucleotide ribosomal RNA is filed under the name Vulpes vulpes (red fox). Lineage: Eukaryota; Metazoa; Chordata; Mammalia; Carnivora; Canidae. The record is from RNAcentral.
GUCUACAGCCAUAACACCCUGAACGCACCCGAUCUUGUCUGUUCUCAGAAGCUAAGCAAGGUCGGGCCUGGUUAGUACUUGGAUGGGAGAUUUUCCCAGAAUGUGAUGCGUAGUCA